Molecule: small nuclear RNA, 106 nt
Organism: Apodemus sylvaticus (European woodmouse)
Lineage: Eukaryota; Metazoa; Chordata; Mammalia; Rodentia; Muridae
Source: RefSeq, a predicted model, not a curated record
GUACUUGUUUCGGCAGAACAUAAACUAAAAUGUAAUAAUAAGGAGAAGAAUACCAUGGCCCCUAGAAAAAGAUGACAUGCAAAUGCACAAAGCAUUCCAUAUUUUU